GCCACCUAAUUUAAUGUGUGCACUCCUUCCAUCCCUUAUUUCAACUUCACCAGCAACAAGACCGCAUCCCCCUUUAUAAGUUGCGAACAUGGCCUCUCUCCCUCUCAAAGACUGGAAUAGUGGUCUCUGUGAUUGCCUUCACGAUACACACACAUGCUGCUAUGGAUUCUGGUGCUGCCCCUGCAUGGCUUGCUCGAUUUCAGCAAAACAUGGAGAGAACACGUGUCUACCGCUGUGUGACAUCCUCAGCCCUGCCGUGUUGCAAGCUUGUGGGAUCCCGAUGUGUGUCCCUCCUGCAGCCUUGUCUUUGAGAACAUCCAUUCGAAAAACCUACAAUAUCAAGGGGUCCCUCUGUAAGGACGUUAUUGUUUCCUGUUUCUGCAUGUGGUGCAGCUGGUGUCAGAUGCAUCAAGAAGUUAAAGACCAAACAAUGCCUGUCGUCAAUGUUAAUGUUCACCAAACUGUUAUCCAUCAACCUGCUCCUGUGAUGGAGCAAAGCCCACCUGGGUAUUAUGUAGGUCACCAGAAGGACUUUGCACGAAUGCAAAGCGCAGAUGUCAAUUAUGUCGGUCAUCAGGGAGAAAUGGCAGCUGUGCAAAGCCCACCUGGGUAUUAUGUUCUUCACUAGUGAGACAUUGGCCAAGUGGUAAGCCCACCUGCCUAUUAAGUAAAUUCAUCCAUCCAUUUCCUACCGCUUAUUCUCUUUGAGGUUGUGGGGGGCGCUGGCGCCUAUCUCAGCUACAAUCGGGCGGAAGGCGGGAUACACCCUGGACAAGUCACCACCUCAUCGCAGGGACCCUAUGAAGUUAAUGACUGAGACAAUUAACUAACCCGGCUUCACGGUGGCAGAGGGGUUAGUGCGUCUGCCUCACAAUACGAAGUUCCUGCAGUCCUGGGUUCAAAUCCAGGCUCGGGAUCUUUCUGUGUGGAGUUUGCAUGUUCUCCCCGUGACUGCGUGGGUUCCCUCCCACUUCCAAAGACAUGCACCUGGGGAUAGGUUGAUUGGCAACACUAAAUUGGCCCUAGUGUGUGAAUGUUGUCUGUCUAUCUGUGUUGGCCCUGCGAUGAGGUGGCGACUUGUCCAGGGUGUACACUGCCUUCAGCCCGAUUGUAGCUGAGAUAGGCGCCAGCGACCC
Molecule: long non-coding RNA, 1136 nt
Organism: Nerophis ophidion (straightnose pipefish)
Lineage: Eukaryota; Metazoa; Chordata; Actinopteri; Syngnathiformes; Syngnathidae
Exons: 4
Source: RefSeq, a predicted model, not a curated record